This 278-nucleotide unclassified non-coding RNA is filed under the name Hevea brasiliensis (rubber tree). The record is from RNAcentral. Lineage: Eukaryota; Viridiplantae; Streptophyta; Magnoliopsida; Malpighiales; Euphorbiaceae.
GUUUUUCACUGUCAAAUCGCGCAUAGUUUUCCACAUUUCUUCAUAUUCACGGCUCUCCGAAGUUCAAACUCAGUUUUCUGUGUUCUCAUCAAAAAUUGAAGGAAAAUUGGGGAUGGUUAACAUGUAAUUCUAAUGUCAAGAGGCACUAUUGUCAAGUAAGGAACCUACUAAAGUAUAGAUUGAAAUGAAUUGCAGCUGCUUUGGUGCCUCAACUCAGCGGCAGAAAAAGGGUGUUGAUCUUGUUCAUCAAGAUACUGCAGGCUGCUCCACUGCAAAGA